This 847-nucleotide long non-coding RNA is filed under the name Ricinus communis (castor bean). RNAcentral's name for it is "long non-coding RNA (RCOM_LNC002837)". The record is from RNAcentral. Lineage: Eukaryota; Viridiplantae; Streptophyta; Magnoliopsida; Malpighiales; Euphorbiaceae.
CUUCUCUUCUUGUUACUUCUCUCUUUCUCUAUUAAAUUUUUUACUAUUGUUUGAGCUCUAUAAUUAUACGUUCUCCUACUCUUUCAAAUUUGUAUUUUAAUUUUUUAUCUUUUAAUCUUUCAACGUAUUUUCAGAUCUCCACUUCUUUUUAUUCCGAAUUGUCACCCAAAAUAAACCCCAACAGAGUCGUUGUUGCUCAUUAAAGCUCUACAGUGGUUCUAUUGAUGUCUUACAUUAACUUGGUGGAUCUCAAGGUUCUACAUUUUUCUCUUUGAUAUCUUUUAUUCUCAAAUUUCUGGAGAUAAAUUUCGAUUGAUUUGAAUCCUCUAGGAAAGUAUUGUCAUAGUGUUUAUUUUUCUAUUUGAUAUGGGCGUAAAAUAAAAUGGGUAGGGCAUGUAUGUUGUGUUUGUUUUUCUUUUUGUUGGUAUUUUGUUCCCUUUCACAGUUGCUCCGAUGAUUUCUCUUUUUUCUCUUCUUUUUCGGGUAUAUAGUUGCUCGAUCUAAAAUUGAUUAAAUGGAUUCUCUUUUUUCCUCUUUCAAAGGUGUGCAAUGAAUUUCUGCAAGGAAAUUUUCAUAGCCGUCGCACUGCAAAUGUCUGUUUUUCAUAUGAAGAUCUCAUCAAUUUUCUAGCUUGUGUAAGUUGGUUACGAGAUGAGUUUCAAAGUUUUGAUGAAUUCUUUGUUAUGUGAACCCAAAGUUUUAGUUAUUCUUGUGUAAGAUAUCAUGUGCAUAUUUUUCUCUUACUUUGAUUUUCUCUUUUAAAAAUCAAUUGUUGUAAUGGCCACAUUUUAUAAUUCUUCUUCAAAUCAUUUUGUUUCAGUCCUAAAACUGGUUCAGGAAAUCGUUC